AAUCUCAGAUCCCAAGGGUUGUGGUCCAGAUGAUUGAGUGGGGCCCCCAGCAGUUGGGUCAUGGGAGAUGCUCAAUCCGCUGAAUGCUAAUUCCCAUUACAGGCUUCAGAGUAGUCAGUCUCAGCUCCACGUGAGGCCCUGUGGUCACUGCCUUAUCAAAAGUCUAGCUGAAGAAAAAGUUGAUAUGGGAACCCUCGUGUGCCAGGCAGUGGAGGUCUGAGGCUUCGGGACUUUGGCCUUGACACAGCCCUGGCCCCGCCCCAUCUCUUGCUCACUCUUUGCCAUGGCUCACAUACUUCCAAGCAGACAGCUGAAUGCCUGCUACCUGCAGAGAAGGGUCAGGGCUCUCUGGGGAGUUCAGUGCUGGAUUUAAUAAACGUGCUCCCCUUUGCCCAGCCACGAGGUAAAGAGACGAAUGUCCCAGGGGCUGAGGUGCCCCCAUCCUCCACCUCUGGGGAGCUGGCCACUGGCAGAUCUUGGCUAUGCCUUGCAGGGCUGCUGGCUUUUUCUGUCUUAGUGCUUUACUCCUGUGUGCUGGGGUGGGGGAGUGUCGUCAUAGGGAGGGCUGGAGAAGAGGCUGCCAUGACCUUUGACACCACUGGGGGAGCCUUGGCAAGGCCACCUACCCUAUAUCAAGACCUGCAGAGGGCAUCUUAGAGACUGUGGCCCUUCUUUUUUUAAAAGCACACAUAAAAAUACAGUGGCUUCGUAAGGCCUCAUUUGGAGAUUGAAUUUUCGAAAAAGCCUUUGGCUCAAGGCACUCUGGGAAUGAGGUUCAGGACACAGGGCUCACCUGUGCUAGUCACUACGCUCACAUGUCAGGUCCAGGCAAGUUUGGAGGGGGGUCUCCUGCCAGAGUCUCCCCGCCCCUCUCUCCUGGUAGAUCGAGGCCUUACAGACUAUUUUGUGACUUUGGGGACUAGGUCUCUUUGCUGGCUUGGGCUGACCUGCAGGCAAAGGGACACACAGGAGCAGCUGCCUCCCAAGGGAGGGACUGUCAUCUUCUGCUCAGUUAUAAUCCGAGCUGAGAGACUUCUACAGAAGCUUUCCACUCAGGCCUGCAAUGUAUUCAGACCUAAAGAAGAGCUCCAUCGGCAGAGUUGGCUUUGUGAAGGCUUCCUAUUCUGGUGACUAUGGCUACAGGUUCAUGGCACAAAAAUACCUGCACAGGCCAAGCCUCAUUCUAAGAGUGGAGGCUACCAUGCCCACUCAGAACGGCUGUCUUCCCAACCCCAGCCAGAGAGUUGAUUUGGAAGAAAAACCCAGGUGCAGUUUGUCCCGUGAAUAUAACAGAAUGACCAGUCUACCCUGAAGGUGACAGAAUGACAGAAGGUCAUCAGUGCAGGACCUGUGUUCAUCCCAAGCCGGAUCCCAGAGAAGAGAGGACACAGCCAGACCAGGACUGGGGCUGGGGACCUGGCUUGGGCUUAGGCACAGAGAUGUGAGUUAGCAGAGAUUGCAGAUCUGGGAAACAGGGGAGGGGAUGUCUGCAGAGGAAACUAGGCGGGGAGGGAAUGGGGUUAGGUCACCCUGGAUUUUAUCCCGUAGACUCUGGUGAGCAGCAGGGCAAAUGGAAGGGUUAGGUGGGCACGUGGGGUGCCAUUCAUUGGCCCUGGUCUGCAGGGGACAGAUCUAAGUGAGGUCAGGAUUGGGGGACAAAGGAGAAGGAAGGUUUUGACAGUGGAGUAAGCAAGAAGAGAAGUUUCCAGGAGAGAUUGUAUGAUGUGGAGGGAGGAGGGGAGGUCCAGGUGCCAGCAUUUGGAACUGAGCUGGCAGGUGGGGACCAGAACUGACACAUCUCUCUUGUGACCUCAAGAGUGAUGGACAUGGCGGCUUUGUUCUCCUUAGGCCAGGCUGGGUUUUGGUGGACCUCUAUACCCAGAGGCUUUCCCUAACAAGAGGGCAAGGGCAAGGGCAGAUUCCUGGGGACACAUGUAUGGGGUGGGGGCAGCUGAGGUGCAAGACCAGAAGCAGAGGGAAGGGGGAGGUAGGUAGCUUGGUGGGGAGCCCAGGGGAGCAUGAGUCCUGCGUAAGAGAACUGACCUCCGUAGGCCUCAGAAGGGCCAGUACCCACUCUCUCCUGCCAACGUGUGAACAUGCUCCUUGUCCCCCAACAAGCCUAACAGCACGCCUCUCUCACACAGCUGUUGCUAAAUUAACAUCUGAAUACAGAUAUAGCAGAGUGGGAGGUUAGAGGAGACCUGAGAGCCAUGGUGGAUUUGGUAGUGGGAUGGGAUGCUGGGCCACCCGUCAGACCAGUUUUGGGAAGAGAAUGGGAGUUUAGAGAGGGAGGAGGCAUGAUUUGGGGCAGAGAUGAGUAUGGGGAGGACAGAGGAAGUCUGAGACAGCCUUAUCUGCUUCUUGUGGAAGUUUGCCCACGACAGGAAGGGAAAGCAUGGGGAGAGCUGAAGCCUUGAGGUUGGAGCACAUCUAAAGAAUGAAAACGGAUGUUUAUUGACUGCCCCAUCUCCCAGCAGCAUUGCGUGUUCCUUACAGAAAAGAAGCCCCUGCCCGGGGUGCAGGCGGAAGACCUGCUGCUGGCCUGAAGACUGGAUUAUUGUUUGGCGGCUUUUUCAUCUUGAGGAGACAAUGUGAGAGUUCUUUUUUUCUGGCACCGUGCAGGGGGAUGGUGGGACUCUAGGUCCUGUGGCAAUCUCGUUCAACUUCAACAAUAAAAACAAAGGGAACAGCUUGAGUCCAAGUUUGUCCUAGCCAUCUGCAUAAAGAAUAUACAAGCCUUUGAAAUGUUUUGAGACUCCAGAAGGAGAGGAAGGCACACACCCUUGGUGAUUCCGUCCUUAAGCACUGCUCUCCGCUCCCCCAGCUUCCUAUCACCAGGACCUUCCUUCUUUAACAAAAGUACAAAGAACACGCAACACAAAGUCAAAGAUGUAAAAAGUAGAAGUAAAGUCUUUCCAUGACUCCAUGUUCUUGCUGUGACUCAGAAUUGCUCAUUAGGGCAAAACCCCUCACACCUCGUGAGUUAACAGCCAGCCUGUUGUAGCCUGUUGUCAUUGCUCUGAAGGUCCAAGAUUGAAGUGGGUGUCACUAACACAUGCAGGCUGGAUCACCCCAAUUCUAGCCCCACUUCUGAAACAAGGAUUCUGGUAUUUCUGUGUUUCCUUUUCUAACUAGACAGUGAAUCCCCGAUGGAAAGGAUGAGGCUUUCUAUCUCUGGAUAGCCACUCGGCGGCUGGGAUGUAAGAACACUGGAAAAAUAGUUUUGUUUGGAAUGGCAGGACUUUCCAAACAGCCAGCUCCCUGCGAAAAGGACACUAGGUGUUGCUGACUCUGCAGGUGGGGGUUGGGGGGGGGGAGGGCAGAGGGCAGAGACACAGAAUCAACGGCACAGAUUCUGGGAGUUAUGUAAGCAAUCUCUCAUUUAUUAAACGAAGGGCUCAGGUAUUUAUGUGUGUGCUGUAUGGCAGGCAGGCUUUGCUUCCAGCUGCCCUGGCGUUGCUUGGUUUGACCCCGGGUCUUACAUUGGCAGUUGUCAUCUUGGGGGUCCGGUUUUAGGAUCCUCUGGGUCAGGAUGCUACUGUGCAUGUCAGAGCUCUUUGUUUGCUUAAGGCGUGGCCCAGUGCUUUCCGCCCUACCCACCUCAACCAGGCACCCAUUUUUCUUGAACACAUACAAAUAUUUGGAAUCAGGAUUCUGACUCCACAGUGGGGUUAGUAGCAAGGGCUCCAUGUCUCAGAGUCAGAGGAGAUGGAGCUAUGGGUGAGAAGCAUUAAUGCUGAUGGGAGCUUGUAGAAUGGAUGGAGGGAUGGUAUGUGAUUUUCCCUAGGGAUAUGUGAGUACAUAUCUAUUCACCACUGAUAAAGCAACAAAACUAAAACGAUCCUACCCAGGUCUAGCUUGGUGAACCAGUCAGUUUAUUGGGGUUACUUAGAGAAGUUACUCAAAGGCAGCUGCCUCACCAGAAAGCCCACCCCAGCGUGGAUACCAAGCUAUGAAAGCUACCUGCUUGACUUGCAGGUACCUCUGAUGGAGGAAAGUCUUCAUUCCGUAGGACCUAUACUGCUCUUAAAAUCUUGGGGGAGGGCCCAUGGAUUUUUAUAAUUUGUGAAUUUCCCAAGCCUUACACAUUUCAUGAAUUUCCUGAGCCAUGUGAGUGUCAUUACCUUCCUGGGGUUAUGAGCCUCUGCCUCUCCUUCUAGGAGGGAAUUCUUUGAAGGAGGUGAAACAGUUCCUCAAGGAAGAUGGUGAACUUGUUUCUCAUGUCCUCCAGAACAAAUGACCAGAAAGUAAAUGAACUGAAACGGUAGGAAUUUACUAUCGUCCGGUUCUGGAGGUCAGGGGCAUGGGAUGCAUCUUCCUGGGAUGACAUCCAGAUGUGAGCCGUGCUGUGUUCCUUCAGGGGGCUCCGAGGGAGAAGCCUGCUUGCUGUCUUGCUUUUUAGAGGCCACCUGCAUCCUUUGGAUACUAGCUCCUCUUCAAAGCCAGCACCUCAGAUUUGUCUUUGAUUUCUGACAUAGCCCUGGUAGUCUCUUCUCCUGUCUGAGGGCUCUGAUAAUGAUGAUGGGCUGAACCUGGUCCAUCCAAAUAAUCUCCUCUUCUCAAGGUUAACAGAAAGGCAGCUGGAAUUCUACCCACAACUCCAGUUCUCCCUUGAUGCAUAACAUACUCACAGGCUCUGAGAGAAGGGACAUGUGUAAUUUUUGGUGGGAAGCGUUCUUUUACCACGAGGGAGGCUCCCAAUGGUCAUUGUAGUGUCGGCACCCUUGUUCGGGAUCAAUACUUGAGGAAACUUGACCUCAGACAGUUUAUGUGAAUUCCAACUGUUGGCUCCACGGGAGAAAAACUUCCCCUGAGCCCUGGGCUGCUGGUCACUGGAGCAGCAAGUCAAAUUCUGUUGGAGGCUUGGGGCCUUUCCCUCCGGUUCCCUUUGCUUUGCCUGGCCCCCCUUUUUUAAUUUUCUUUCUUGAGGGAUGAUGCCCCUCCAUGGACUCAGAAUGGACUUGAUCCAGUCACAAGAAAGGCUCAUUGCUUGAACAAGAGCAUGGACUUUUAGAAUUGUACCUUCUAAGUGCCCACUUGGGGAUGUUGAGCUUUAGUGAUCAAGGACUCCAAAAGUCUGAAAUCCUGGAAGUUCCCCUUAGGAACUCUACGAAGAAGGCCUAAAGAGUGAGCACCCACACCAGCCUUUUCUGCCUUAGUGGCUGCUGUAGAUUUCACCCUAUGGUUACCCCGUCGAAUGAGGCUGGCAUCUAGAAUUCAAGAGGACUUUAGCCACUGGGUAUUCACAGCGAUGGAGCUGGUGACGCUGACAUACAGUUCAACUCUUAAGGCAGAAGGUGGGCAAUAAAAGAAAUUUUCAGUCAAGGUCAAUGCUGUAGGCGAAGACACGAGAGAGACUUAGUGCAUGAUGUUUUCUCUUGGAAAGAGCAAACCAUGAUCUGGGGGAGCAGAUUCCCAGAGGUGAUGUCUGGAUCUCAUUUAGAAAGUUAUCAGCCCCCCCCCCCCCCCCCCCCCGCAAGUCGGCCGAUUCUGUCAGCCGUAGGGUACUAGCAGUUUACCUAACUAGCCUAGCAGUUCACCCUACCCUCUGCGCCUAAAGAUAGAAGCUGGCCAAGGACAGGAUCUAAGGCUUUUUUACUAGAGAAGUAAAUUCUUGAGAACUCCGAGAUGAAUCCAGUCUGUGAAGAAAGACAAGGCCCUGUGGAGAGACCUUGGGGGCCACUGAGAAAGGCAGCCCUGAUUCCUGGAGGAGCAUCAGGAAGAGACCACGGUACAUUGUUGAGUUAUGGAAAAGUCACUUUGGCAUAGUACCACAGUUUCCUCUCAUCCCUAGCAACCAACAGGGGAAAAACCCCGUCCUCAAAGACGAGCAAAAGUGAAGCAAGACACCUGUAUCCAGCUGUAGCUAGAAGGCAGGUCCUGUGAGGAAGCGUCAGUUCUAAGGCACACCAGUAGCUUCCCGGGGGGUUCCUGCUUCUCUCUUCCAUAGCUGUUUCCAAGGAGGCUUCCCCAGCUUCUAAGAUGUGCAGACUGGAUGAUCAAGAAAACUUGGCAAUGAUGGAGACAGAGCAAGAGCGCAGCCAGGAACAGGAUCGUGCAUGUUGAGGAUGGAUGAUUAUGGGAAGAUGUUAGAAGACAGCACAAAGGGAUGGGACCUUCUGGGGUCACUGACCUGUACCUUGUACUUGUCCCUGGACUCCCCGCUUUCCCAUGGGAUAGGCUCAGCAAAUGCCUGGUUUGUCAGUAUAUUUGUCAAAUUAUUUGUGGUUAUUUCUAGGUCCACAGCCUGUGAAACGUGAUUGGAAAGGACCCACAGUAGGGAGUUCACAGUGUCUUUCCCACUGGUACUCUGUUUUUUUCUCGAGCUGGGAAAGUGACAUUAAAAGAAUAAUAAGGCAUAAUAAGAAAUGAGAACAAAGUGUCCUGAGGCAUAUGUAUGAAAAUGCCACAAUGAAACCCGCUACUUUGUGUUUUAACCCCCAAUUGAAGAAAAAUGUAGUAAUGAAAUAAAUCAAGCUGAAAUGAA
Non-coding RNA from Peromyscus maniculatus bairdii (prairie deer mouse), 6487 nucleotides. Lineage: Eukaryota; Metazoa; Chordata; Mammalia; Rodentia; Cricetidae. The record is from RefSeq and is a predicted model, not a curated record.